CCUACGGGGAGCUGCAGUGAGGAAUAUUGGUCAAUGGACGAGAGUCUGAACCAGCCAAGUAGCGUGAAGGAUGACUGCCCUAUGGGUUGUAACCUUCUUUUAUAUGGGAAUAAAAUGUUCCACGUGUGGGAUUUUGUAUGUACCAUAUGAAUAAGGAUCGGCUCACUCCGUGCCAGCAGCCGCGGUACUACGGAGGAUCCGAGCGUUAUCCGGAUUUAUUGGGUUUAAAGGGAGCGUAGGUGGAUUGUUAAGUCAGUUGUGAAAGUUUGCGGCUCAACCGUAAAAUUGCAGUUGAAACUGGCAGUCUGGAGUACAGUAGAGGUGGGCGGAAUUCGGGGUGUAGCGGUGAAAUGCUUAGAUAUCACGAAGAACUCCGAUUGCGAAGGCAGCUCACUGGACUGCAACUGACACUGAGGCUCGAAAGUGUGGGUAUCAAACAGGAUUAGAUACCCGAGUAGUC
Molecule: ribosomal RNA, 460 nt
Filed under: uncultured bacterium
Lineage: Bacteria
Description: partial 16S ribosomal RNA
Rfam family: Bacterial small subunit ribosomal RNA
Source: RNAcentral